GAAUAUUUGCCACCGGGCAAUGUGAUGCAUUUACGCAUCCGUUACACAUCGUUAGGUCUUAGAAGAUGUGGAAGCGGGUGCUUAUUUUUU
Molecule: non-coding RNA, 90 nt
Filed under: unclassified sequences
Source: RNAcentral